This 329-nucleotide ribosomal RNA is filed under the name uncultured bacterium. Its description in RNAcentral is "bacterial SSU rRNA". It matches the Rfam family "Bacterial small subunit ribosomal RNA", at positions 773 to 1098 of the family's 1533-position model. The record is from RNAcentral.
AGGGAAUAGAUACCCUGGUAGUCCACGCCCUAAACGAUGUCGACUAGGUGUUCGGUGAGGAGACUCAUUGAGUACCGCAGCUAACGCGUGAAGUCGACCGCCUGGGGAGUACGGUCGCAAGAUUAAAACUCAAAGGAAUUGACGGGGACCCGCACAAGCGGUGGAUGAUGUGGAUUAAUUCGAUGCAACGCGAAAAACCUUACCUACCCUUGACAUGUACGGAACCCUGCUGAGAGGUGGGGGUGCUCGAAAGAGAGCCGUAACACAGGUGCUGCAUGGCUGUCGUCAGCUCGUGUCGUGAGAUGUUGGGUUAAGUCCCGCAACGAGCG